Molecule: transfer RNA, 108 nt
Filed under: Stegodyphus mimosarum
Lineage: Eukaryota; Metazoa; Arthropoda; Arachnida; Araneae; Eresidae
Rfam family: tRNA
About the family: Transfer RNA (tRNA) molecules are approximately 80 nucleotides in length. Their secondary structure includes four short double-helical elements and three loops (D, anti-codon, and T loops).
Source: Rfam by way of RNAcentral
GUUAGCGUGGCCAAGCGGUCUAAGGCGCCAGACUCAAAGUUACCUUGCUCUGUAUCAGAGUAUGAGUGUUCUGGUCUACGAAUGUGGGUUCAAAUCCCACUUCUGACA